RNAcentral lists this transfer RNA (74 nucleotides) under Flabellia petiolata. RNAcentral describes it as "tRNA-Ala". It matches the Rfam family "tRNA". Rfam says of the family: Transfer RNA (tRNA) molecules are approximately 80 nucleotides in length. Their secondary structure includes four short double-helical elements and three loops (D, anti-codon, and T loops). Further hydrogen bonds mediate the characteristic L-shaped molecular structure. tRNAs have two regions of fundamental functional importance: the anti-codon, which is responsible for specific mRNA codon recognition, and the 3' end, to which the tRNAs corresponding amino acid is attached (by aminoacyl-tRNA synthetases). tRNAs cope with the degeneracy of the genetic code in two manners: having more than one tRNA (with a specific anti-codon) for a particular amino acid; and 'wobble' base-pairing, i.e. permitting non-standard base-pairing at the 3rd anti-codon position. Lineage: Eukaryota; Viridiplantae; Chlorophyta; Ulvophyceae; Bryopsidales; Halimedaceae. The record is from RNAcentral.
UGAGCUCAUCGUCUAAUGGAUAAGACAGCAACCUUCUAAGUUGGUAAUGCAGGUUCGAUUCCUUCUGGGCUCAA